This 484-nucleotide ribosomal RNA is filed under the name uncultured bacterium. RNAcentral describes it as "partial 16S ribosomal RNA". It matches the Rfam family "Bacterial small subunit ribosomal RNA", at positions 29 to 507 of the family's 1533-position model. The record is from RNAcentral.
AUUGAACGCUGGCGGCAUGCUUUACACAUGCAAGUCGAACGGCAGCGCGGGCUUCGGCCUGGCGGCGAGUGGCGAACGGGUGAGUAAUACAUCGGAACGUGCCCAGUAGUGGGGGAUAGCUCGGCGAAAGCCGGAUUAAUACCGCAUACGACCUGAGGGUGAAAGCGGGGGAUCUUCGGACCUCGCGCUAUUGGAGCGGCCGAUGGCAGAUUAGCUAGUUGGUGGGGUAAAGGCCUACCAAGGCGACGAUCUGUAGCUGGUCUGAGAGGACGACCAGCCACACGGGGACUGAGCCACGGCCCAGACUCCUACGGGAGGCAGCAGUGGGGAAUUUUGGACAAUGGGCGAAAGCCUGAUCCAGCAAUGCCGCGUGUGUGAUGAAGGCCUUCGGGUUGUAAAGCACUUUUGGCGGGAACGAAAAGGACUGUGCCAAUACCACGGUUCGAUGACGGUACCCGCAGAAUAAGCACCGGCUAACUACGUG